AAGCUAUAGUGAGAGAGAAAUGUGCCCAGGAAUCCCUUUUGAGUAAAGUGGCAAGACUCAGAGCAAGAGAGACACUCAAGACAGGAUAUAUUCGAAAGUGAUGAGAAAGGAAUGAGAAAAGCAUGAGAAGUGAUGAGUCCCUAAGGAGAUUUGUUCAAAGGUCAAGAGUGAAAGAAAGUCAAAGCUCUGCAGUUAAGAAGAAAAAUACACCACUGAAACUUUCAGAUGCCUUGAGACAAGAUUCUUCUUCCAGAAUUCUAGUAUCAUUCCAAGGCUGGACUCUUCAGAAGUGAUUGCCUGCAAAUUUAGGAUGAGAACAAAAUCACAGUUCAAG
This 334-nucleotide long non-coding RNA is filed under the name Homo sapiens (human). RNAcentral describes it as "HSALNT0315435". Lineage: Eukaryota; Metazoa; Chordata; Mammalia; Primates; Hominidae. The record is from RNAcentral.